Molecule: ribosomal RNA, 253 nt
Filed under: uncultured bacterium
Lineage: Bacteria
Description: partial 16S ribosomal RNA
Rfam family: Bacterial small subunit ribosomal RNA
Source: RNAcentral
UACAGAGGUGGCAAGCGUUGUUCGGAAUUACUGGGCGUAAAGGGCGCGUAGGCGGCCUUCUAAGUCAGACGUGAAAUCCCCAGGCUUAACUUGGGAACUGCGUCUGAUACUGGAAGGCUUGAGUGCGGGAGAGGGAUGUGGAAUUCCAGGUGUAGCGGUGAAAUGUGUAGAGAUCGGGAGGAACACCAGUGGCGAAGGCGGCGAUCUGGGAAGAUACUGACGCUGAGGUGCGAAAGCGUGGGGAGCAAACAGG